ACGGCGGAACCGAAAAGCCAAUAGAGUAGGAA
Molecule: regulatory RNA element, 32 nt
Organism: Flavobacterium indicum
Lineage: Bacteria; Pseudomonadati; Bacteroidota; Flavobacteriia; Flavobacteriales; Flavobacteriaceae
Rfam family: DUF805b RNA
About the family: Bacteroidetes, Chlorobi (1 example), Proteobacteria. Lineage (Flavobacteria)
Source: Rfam